This is a long non-coding RNA of Populus euphratica (Euphrates poplar), 667 nucleotides long. RefSeq lists it as uncharacterized. The record is from RefSeq and is a predicted model, not a curated record. The transcript has 2 exons. NCBI's taxonomy places the organism in Eukaryota, Viridiplantae, Streptophyta, Magnoliopsida, Malpighiales, Salicaceae.
GACCAAACAAUCAGCUUAUAAUUCAUGAAUAACAUGUACAGUUAGCCCUCUUAGCAGUAAUAUUAUCAUUCAGUAAUAACCUCACGUAAUCACAAGAAAUCACCAGAUUUCAUAAAAGCUAGCCUGUUUAACAUCAAUCAACCAAUGCUCAAAAAAUAAAAUAAUAACUAUAUAAUACACAUAGAAAAGGUCUGCUAUAGGAUAUAAAUAUACUUAAAGAUGCAUAUUGUGGUAACCAUUUAGCGAUUGAAGAAAUCACAAAAUCUCCCACAAUAGAAUGGGGAAAAUUAUACAACAGGCAGCAAGAGGCUUGUUUCAGUAAAAUUAACAUUUUAAGAUAAAAGGGUAGAGCUGAAUACAAAGAGCAACUUUCUUUAUACUCAGUUUUUGAGAAUUAAGAUAAAAAUCCAAUAACCACAGGUUUCACUAUAUUUUUAAGGCUUGAACAUGACCUUUCCCUCCGAAUGAUGACGCAUUAACACAUUACAUCAUCAAUAUCAAAAGUUAUAGCUGUACAUUUUCAAUUGGAAUGAUUUGUGCAGAUUCUCAUUUGCGACUCUUAUUAUGCUAGAUGAUGUUGUAGUAAAAUGCUACUUUACUACUUAAAUAAAUGCAGUCUAUUGUUUAUUGUUUAUGUUUGAAAAGCAGCUAAAAAUGAAUGCACAAA